GGAAUUGUGGCCGAGCGGUCUAAGGCGCCAGCUUAAGGCGCUGGUCAGUAAUGGCAUGGGUUCGAAUCCCAUCGAUUUCA
This 80-nucleotide transfer RNA is filed under the name Mrakia frigida. RNAcentral describes it as "tRNA-Leu (AAG) (tRNA-Leu-AAG-1 1 to 5)". It matches the Rfam family "tRNA". Rfam says of the family: Transfer RNA (tRNA) molecules are approximately 80 nucleotides in length. The record is from RNAcentral. Lineage: Eukaryota; Fungi; Basidiomycota; Tremellomycetes; Cystofilobasidiales; Mrakiaceae.